CACACAGUAAACGAUGAAUACUCGCUGUUUGCGAUAUACAGUAAGCGGCCAAGCGAAAGCAUUAAGUAUUCCACCUGGGGAGUACGCCGGCAACGGUGAAACUCAAAGGAAUUGACGGGGGCCCGCACAAGCGGUGGAGCAUGUGGUUUAAUUCGAAGCAACGCGAAGAACCUUACCAAGGCUUGACAUCCCUCUGACCGGUGUAGAGAUACACCUUCUCUUCGGAGCAGAGGUGACAGGUGG
This 243-nucleotide ribosomal RNA is filed under the name uncultured bacterium. RNAcentral's name for it is "partial 16S ribosomal RNA". It matches the Rfam family "Bacterial small subunit ribosomal RNA", at positions 796 to 1041 of the family's 1533-position model. The record is from RNAcentral.